Molecule: long non-coding RNA, 491 nt
Filed under: Nicotiana benthamiana
Lineage: Eukaryota; Viridiplantae; Streptophyta; Magnoliopsida; Solanales; Solanaceae
Description: long non-coding RNA (NBEN_LNC019234)
Source: RNAcentral
CUCAUAUCAAGUACAAAUCCAACUCAGUUCUCAUAAUAAACAUCCAACACAUAAAAUAACUUCAGAAUCCUGUAAUCUAAGAAAAAUGAAACUAAACAAAACACUCAAACAAGGAAGCCAUGCUUAGCAUUUUGAAUUUUAUUUCAUACUUCGAAUCACAACUUCACAUGAUGUGCAUUCAGGAAAGUGUACCUGAAAAUGAACAGAAAUAAGAAAUGAAGGGUCAACAUUAACAAUAGCAGAAGUCUGCACCAGCAGAACCAACUCCUAACACAAAAAAAUAAUAUGCAGUAGUCCAAAUUUCAAUCGAGCAAUAACCACAAGAAUUCAAACCAAACAUUGGAACCCAAAUUCAGUCCAUUUUUACCCUAGAUGGACCAGAAAUUGUUUCAAAAAUUUAAAACUUCAGAAAUCUCAGAAGAAACUCAAUGGAACAAUAAUUUUAUUGAACUUUCUUAGCUGUCUUUGAUUUUCAGAUUUUUCUCUACUUU